ACGGAGGAUCCGAGCGUUAUCCGGAUUUAUUGGGUUUAAAGGGUGCGUAGGCGGACCAAUUAGUCAGUGGUGAAAGUUUGCAGCUCAACUGUAAAAUUGCCAUUGAAACUGUUGGUCUUGAGUGUAAAUGAGGUAGGCGGAAUGUGUUGUGUAGCGGUGAAAUGCUUAGAUAUAACACAGAACACCAAUUGCGAAGGCAGCUUACUGGGAUACAACUGACGCUGAGGCACGAAAGCGUGGGGAUCAAACAGGAUUAGAUACCCUGGUAGUCCACGCAGUAAACGAUGAAUACUAGCUGUAUGCGAUAUACUGUAUGUGGCAAAGCGAAAGCGUUAAGUAUUCCACCUGGGGAGUACGUUCGCAAGAAUG
This 369-nucleotide ribosomal RNA is filed under the name uncultured bacterium. RNAcentral's name for it is "bacterial SSU rRNA". It matches the Rfam family "Bacterial small subunit ribosomal RNA", at positions 525 to 896 of the family's 1533-position model. The record is from RNAcentral.